Non-coding RNA from Schistosoma curassoni, 45 nucleotides. The record is from Rfam. Lineage: Eukaryota; Metazoa; Platyhelminthes; Trematoda; Strigeidida; Schistosomatidae.
AUCCAUCUGACGUGUCCUAAAUAGGACGAAACGCAUGUCUUGGAU